RNAcentral lists this ribosomal RNA (403 nucleotides) under uncultured bacterium. RNAcentral's name for it is "bacterial SSU rRNA". It matches the Rfam family "Bacterial small subunit ribosomal RNA", at positions 355 to 774 of the family's 1533-position model. The record is from RNAcentral.
UGGGGAAUAUUGCGCAAUGGGGGCAACCCUGACGCAGCAACGCCGCGUGAUUGAAGAAGGCCUUCGGGUUGUAAAGAUCUUUAAUCAGGGACGAAACAUGACGGUACCUGAAGAAUAAGCUCCGGCUAACUACGUGCCAGCAGCCGCGGUAAUACGUAGGGAGCAAGCGUUAUCCGGAUUUACUGGGUGUAAAGGGCGCGCAGGCGGGCCGGCAAGUUGGGAGUGAAAUCCGGGGGCUUAACCCCCGAACUGCUUUCAAAACUGCUGGUCUUGAGUGUUGGAGAGGCAGGCGGAAUUCCGUGUGUAGCGGUGAAAUGCGUAGAUAUACGGAGGAACACCAGUGGCGAAGGCGGCCUGCUGGACAUUAACUGACGCUGAGGCGCGAAAGCGUGGGGAGCAAACA